RNAcentral lists this ribosomal RNA (373 nucleotides) under uncultured organism. Its description in RNAcentral is "partial 16S ribosomal RNA". It matches the Rfam family "Bacterial small subunit ribosomal RNA", at positions 527 to 896 of the family's 1533-position model. The record is from RNAcentral.
GUAGGUGGCAAGCGUUGUCCGGAAUUAUUGGGCGUAAAGCGCGCGCAGGCGGUUCUUUAAGUCUGAUGUGAAAGCCCACGGCUCAACCGUGGAGGGUCAUUGGAAACUGGAGAACUUGAGUACAGAAGAGGAAAGCGGAAUUCCACGUGUAGCGGUGAAAUGCGUAGAGAUGUGGAGGGACACCAGUGGCGAAGGCGGCUUUCUGGUCUGUAACUGACGCUGAGGCGCGAAAGCGUGGGGAGCAAACAGGGAUUAGAUACCCCGGUAGUCCACGCCGUAAACGAUGAGUGCUAAGUGUUAGGGGGUUUCCCGCCCCUUAGUGCUGCAGCUAACGCAUUAAGCACUCCGCCUGGGGGAUACGGCCGCAAGGCUG